AACGAACGCUGGCGGCAGGCCUAACACAUGCAAGUCGAGCGCGCCCUUCGGGGUGAGCGGCGGACGGGUGAGUAACGCGUGGGAACGUGCCCUUUUCUACGGAAUAGCCUCGGGAAACUGAGAGUAAUACCGUAUACGCCCUUUGGGGGAAAGAUUUAUCGGAAAAGGAUCGGCCCGCGUUGGAUUAGGUAGUUGGUGGGGUAAUGGCCUACCAAGCCGACGAUCCAUAGCUGGUUUGAGAGGAUGAUCAGCCACACUGGGACUGAGACACGGCCCAGACUCCUACGGGAGGCAGCAGUGGGGAAUCUUAGACAAUGGGGGCAACCCUGAUCUAGCCAUGCCGCGUGAGUGAUGAAGGCCUUAGAGUUGUAAAGCUCUUUCAGCUGGGAAGAUAAUGACGGUACCAGCAGAAGAAGCCCCGGCUAACUCCGUG
Molecule: ribosomal RNA, 433 nt
Filed under: uncultured bacterium
Lineage: Bacteria
Description: partial 16S ribosomal RNA
Rfam family: Bacterial small subunit ribosomal RNA
Source: RNAcentral